GGGUGUGAUCAUACCAGCACUAAUGCACCGGAUCCCAUCAGAACUCCGCAGUAAAGCGUGCUUGGGCGAGAGUAGUA
RNAcentral lists this ribosomal RNA (77 nucleotides) under Corchorus capsularis. Lineage: Eukaryota; Viridiplantae; Streptophyta; Magnoliopsida; Malvales; Malvaceae. The record is from RNAcentral.